This is a non-coding RNA of Cyanistes caeruleus (blue tit), 3592 nucleotides long. NCBI's taxonomy places the organism in Eukaryota, Metazoa, Chordata, Aves, Passeriformes, Paridae. The record is from RefSeq and is a predicted model, not a curated record.
CGCCGCCUGGGCAGGCCGCCUCCCGCCCCGCCGGCUGCGGCCUUCCCGCAGAGACCGGGAAAAGCGGCCCUCACCCGCGGGUUUUCCACUGCCGCGGGCCUCUUGUUAAAAUCAGUGACCGUCAAUCAACCCAGGACACCGUCUCUUUUGCAAAAUAUCCCCCAAAACUGCCGUGACCUCUCUGGUGAUCCAACUGCUGCCUUUGGUCUCCUCCACUGCGCUCUGGUUUGCUGCACCUCUGCGGAAAGCGCUGCUAAUUGAUAAUUAUCCUGAUAAUUGAUAGCUGAUAAUUGAUAAUUAUUCUGUGGGGCCGGGACAGCGGCUGUGCAGCCUGUGGAGAGCUGCAGGGAGGGACAGUGGGGCCCGAACCCGCUGUCCAGUGCAGCUCUGGGUGCUGGCCUUUCACCUUGAGCUCACUUCCAGGAAAAUUCCCAACAGCCUUAAUGUGAAGGGUACAGGAGGGGGCAGUUUUCUCCUUUGAAACAUCUCGAGGUGUCCAGCUGUCCCACUGUGAUGGAGAACAGUGAAGUACCUUCAUAAUAGUAUCAGGAGAGCAGUGCUCUGGCUUAGGUGCUCUGUUGGAAUGAAAAUCAAAUUAUAAAUGAAGAUUCGUGGAGAGGCCAUGGAGAGAAGACAUGGAUGGAAUUAGAGGGCAGAGAGAGCAGCGCAGAGUAUCAAGAUUAGCCUGGAAGAAGAAGAAAGGACUCAGGGAAAAGUAAAUUUUUUUUCCUAGAGAAGAAGGGUUGUUUUGCUUAACAAAGAGUGCAAGCGAUAUGAGUUUACAAAGAAAGCCCAGCACAACAGUGGUAUAAAACUGGAUGGAAUAUGCUGGAAAUAGAAAUGUAUCUCCUGUAUCCUUAGAAUGUUAAAGCCUUGCUCAGCAAAACAAAGGAAGUGAUAAGAGUUCCUGCUCUACCCAGGAAUGUUCAAGAGCACAGCUUUUACUGACAUAAGUAUAUAUGAAGUGCAGGCUUUGGAAGUGAACUGCUGCACUAGUUCUACAAAGUCAGCUUCAAAAUUGCACUGUGAGAUGUAACUCUUGCAAUUUUCCAUUUGAGUUUUAGCUGAAAAAAAUAUAGAAUACAAUGCCACUUAUGCAGAAAACCACAGCAAUGCAUAGUACUUAGUUCAAGAACAUGCACUAAGGUGUUUGUGAAUGGUCCCACAACAAGAUUAACUAAAUUAGGAAGUAACCAAAUAUUCAAAAGGAAUGGAGAAAUCCAAGAAUUGAAUGAUCUGCUCAGACACUUCACAAACAGACCCAACAGGCAACAUUUUCCCAAGAGGUUGCUCAUGGAAAUUAUUUGCUUCAUUUCAGUUGUUAACAAGCAUGAGCAGCUGAGCUCCACCUCCUCUGCGGCACAGAAGUGAUCUCCAAGGCUUUUGCCUACCAGCAUUACCAGCAGAAAAUGAUUAGGUUUGGACAGGUCCUCCUCUGUUAUUUCAGUGACUCUCAAAUCCAUCUGGCUGCUUUGAGUAGAUGUGGAGAAAAAACAUGAAAAAUAUAUAUCCUGGGUUUACUUUGAUCUCUAAAAAUAAGGAUGAUUUUAUUUUAGGCAUAUAAUAAUAUUGUUAACCUCUGUUCACUAAGCAAUCCUUGCUUUUCCCUUGGUUCUCAGUUUGACACAUCUCCAGCAUGAAAUGGACUAAGAUUGCCAUGAAACUGAAAGCUCUGAGUGUGGAAAUUGGGGAAUGCAUAGACAGAUUCUUUUUUCCUUUUUAAACAUAUGCCAAUGAAUAAAUCCUUUUUCCUACCCCCUCAUAAGUUUUCUGAAAUUCUUGGUAAAUAUAACUACAAACCUCAGCUAGAAAGCCCAAAGCAAUUUUCCCUUAGGGGACUUCCGUUAGAGCCACAGAAAAUCAAAGGCCAAGAACCAGGGAUUGUCUCAAGCCUGAAAUGGAACACUGGUCCUGGUGAAAACUGCCACGAAGAUCAGGUCACUUUUCGACAUGAGCUUUGCCAAUGGGAAAGCAAGAGAAAAGCAGGAGAUCACUGCAGAGCACUAAAAAGAGGCAGGAAGCAGCUGCAAAUGUUCUGAUACUGACACAUGUUUGGCCACCAUGAGCGGUUUAAAGGAGCAAGUAUGGAUGUAGAGGUAAAUCAGAGAGGAUGGGCAUGUUAAACUAUAGUUGUUAGGUGCAUUGUCUCAUUGAAGUUGUAAGGUAACUUUCUUGCCUAUUAAGCAUUGUUCAGAAAAUUUAAAAAUCUAAACAUGUAAAAUAAAAUAUGAACAUGAAGCACUUUGAUUCACAGUAUUUCUAGUCCCUAUAGUGCACAGUAAACUUCUGUACCAUUGUUACCUGAGACAUACAUGAUGUAAGGAUAUUUUUUAAGAAGAGACAAUUGCUUAAAUAUUGGCAGAGUAUUCUUUGCAAUCUUUAUGGCAUACUGCUUGCACCAAUCUGCUGCAGAUGACGUGUGAACAGAGACAUUUAAGAUGGGUUAGAAGAACUCCUGCUUCCAGCACUUGCACUGGAAUAAAACCUUCCUUACCUGAGCAGGCUGUCCCGACGUGGAAGGACAGGUUUUCUGGGGAAGGCAAGGAGCAUUGACUUGUCAGCUUACACACAUAUGGUGAAGGGCAGGACACUUGUAAAACUUCCACAAGCCCAUGGCUGGGGAUCUGCCUCUUUAAUGGCCAAGAAGCCACUGAAUAUUUCAUAAUAACCAUAAUUCCAGGAAAUAGAAACACUGAAUGACAGAACCCACUACUUUGUUGUCAUACAUUCUGUUACCUAAACCUUGCCAUAUACAAUUUCAGGACACCUAAGAAGGUCUGCAAUAUAUUACAUAGUUUUUACAGUGAAAGCAGAAGCUAUAUCUAAACACAUAGAGAAGGGAGUCAAAAGAAAAAUGGGUAUUGAGGUUUAUCAUAUAUUUGUCUGCAACCAGGACCAGCCCUAGUGACGGCCACACAAAGUUUGGGCAGCAGCUGUUGAUUGCCUUAAUUAAAAGGCAUUCAAAAUUUAAGGCUGCUCAGCUAUCUUAAGAGUAUCUGAAAAAAUUGUCCAUAAACUGGAGUUAUUUGCAUAUAUGUGUUUAAACAUUAUCAAUGUUAUGGAGAAAAAACAGUCCUUCAAAUUAUGUUUCAGCUAUGUUAGUUUUAAUUGAAGGCGUUUGGAGAUAAAUACCUGUUACAGAUUUUACAGAGAUUUUGCUACCAAUGGCAGAACAAUUUCUUGUUUAAUGUUGUUGAGUUACAUGAACAGGCAUUGAGAAAUUCAGUAAUUCUAAAAAUAGUGAAUACUUCUUCUGUUCUUCUUCUUACUAUCCUUUAAUGAAACUUUUUGUCAAAGUAGUUGCAUAUUACCUAGUAAUUAAACAUCCAAAGUACUUAUGGAACAUUUAUUUUCAUGAAAUACAUGUUUUCAUUAGUUAGCAUUUAUAUGUUGUAGUUGUUUUGCUACAUGUGACAGAAUUUUUAAAGUUGCCUCACCUUUGAAAGUAUCUCAAAUAUUAAAAUAUCUCAAAUAUUUAAUUUUAACUUAUUAAUGUUGUCAUUUGUUUUAAUUCAGAAAUAAGACUGUGACAAGCUCAGGUAAAACAUGCUAAUAAGGGACUAAUAUGUAGCAGAAAAGAAUAAGUGCAUUA